This 447-nucleotide ribosomal RNA is filed under the name uncultured bacterium. RNAcentral's name for it is "partial 16S ribosomal RNA". It matches the Rfam family "Bacterial small subunit ribosomal RNA", at positions 29 to 523 of the family's 1533-position model. The record is from RNAcentral.
AGUGAACGCUGGCGGUAGGCCUAACACAUGCAAGUCGAGCGCCCAGCAAUGGGAGCGGCAGACGGGUGAGUAACGCGUGGGGAUGUGCCCAAUGGUGCGGAAUAACCCAGGGAAACUUGGAUUAAUACCGCAUGUGCCCUUCGGGGGAAAGAUUUAUCGCCAUUGGAUCAACCCGCGUCUGAUUAGCUAGUUGGUGAGGUAAAGGCUCACCAAGGCGACGAUCAGUAGCUGGUCUGAGAGGAUGAUCAGCCACACUGGGACUGAGACACGGCCCAGACUCCUACGGGAGGCAGCAGUGGGGAAUAUUGGACAAUGGGCGCAAGCCUGAUCCAGCCAUGCCGCGUGAGUGAUGAAGGCCUUAGGGUUGUAAAGCUCUUUCGCCGGUGAAGAUAAUGACGGUAACCGGAGAAGAAGCCCCGGCUAACUUCGUGCCAGCCGCCGCAGUAA